GAUGAACGCUGGCGGCGUGCUUAACACAUGCAAGUCGAACGGUGAAGGCGGAGCUUGCUCUGCUGGAUCAGUGGCGAACGGGUGAGUAACACGUGAGCAAUCUGCCCCUGACUCUGGGAUAAGCGCUGGAAACGGCGUCUAAUACUGGAUACGAGCUGCGAAGGCAUCUUCAGCAGCUGGAAAGAAUUUCGGUCAGGGAUGAGCUCGCGGCCUAUCAGCUUGUUGGUGAGGUAAUGGCUCACCAAGGCGUCGACGGGUAGCCGGCCUGAGAGGGUGACCGGCCACACUGGGACUGAGACACGGCCCAGACUCCUACGGGAGGCAGCAGGGGGGAAUAUUGCACAAUGGGCGAAAGCCGGAUGCAGCAACGCCGCGUGAGGGACGACGGCCUUCGGGUUGUAAACCUCUUUUAGCAGGGAAGAAGCGAAAGUGACGGUACCUGCAGAAAAAGCGCCGGCUAACUACGU
RNAcentral lists this ribosomal RNA (467 nucleotides) under uncultured bacterium. RNAcentral's name for it is "partial 16S ribosomal RNA". It matches the Rfam family "Bacterial small subunit ribosomal RNA", at positions 28 to 506 of the family's 1533-position model. The record is from RNAcentral.